GGUAGUGUGUCCUAGUGGGUAGAGCACUGAACUGAGACUUGAGAGACCUAGGUUCUAUUCCUGGCUCUGCCA
This 72-nucleotide transfer RNA is filed under the name Chelonia mydas (Green sea turtle). It matches the Rfam family "tRNA". From Rfam's summary of the family: Transfer RNA (tRNA) molecules are approximately 80 nucleotides in length. Their secondary structure includes four short double-helical elements and three loops (D, anti-codon, and T loops). Further hydrogen bonds mediate the characteristic L-shaped molecular structure. tRNAs have two regions of fundamental functional importance: the anti-codon, which is responsible for specific mRNA codon recognition, and the 3' end, to which the tRNAs corresponding amino acid is attached (by aminoacyl-tRNA synthetases). tRNAs cope with the degeneracy of the genetic code in two manners: having more than one tRNA (with a specific anti-codon) for a particular amino acid; and 'wobble' base-pairing, i.e. permitting non-standard base-pairing at the 3rd anti-codon position. Lineage: Eukaryota; Metazoa; Chordata; Testudines; Cheloniidae. The record is from Rfam by way of RNAcentral.